RNAcentral lists this ribosomal RNA (462 nucleotides) under uncultured bacterium. RNAcentral's name for it is "bacterial SSU rRNA". It matches the Rfam family "Bacterial small subunit ribosomal RNA", at positions 339 to 791 of the family's 1533-position model. The record is from RNAcentral.
GUACGGGAGGCAGCAGUCGGGAAUUUUGGACAAUGGGGGAAACCCUGAUCCAGCGACGCCGCGUGCAGGAUGAAGUCCUUCGGGAUGUAAACUGCUGUCGGGUGGGACGAAUGACCUCCGGGUGAAUAAUCCGGAGGAGUGACGGUACCACCGAAGGAAGCACCGGCUAACUCUGUGCCAGCAGCCGCGGUAAGACAGAGGGUGCAAGCGUUGUUCGGAAUUACUGGGCGUAAAGGGCGUGUAGGUGGUCAGGUAAGUCUGAUGUGAAAUCAUCAUCGCUUAACGAGAUGUCCGCAUCGGAUACUGUCUGACUUGAGUAUAGGAGAGGAUAACGGAAUUCCUGGUGUAGCGGUGGAAUGUGUAGAUAUCAGGAGGAACACCUGUGGCGAAGGCGGUUAUCUGGCCUAAUACUGACACUGAGGCGCGAAAGCUAGGGGAGCAAACGGGAUUAGAUACCCCGGU